This 274-nucleotide unclassified non-coding RNA is filed under the name Hevea brasiliensis (rubber tree). Lineage: Eukaryota; Viridiplantae; Streptophyta; Magnoliopsida; Malpighiales; Euphorbiaceae. The record is from RNAcentral.
UUGGAUUUACCUCUGCAUUGCUUUUUAAGUAUGCAGGAUUGGACAUUGACAAUCUUCAAAAUUUGGAGUGCUGUCUUUUUGUUCUUUUCCCGUAUUUCUCGUACAUGCUUGCAGAAGGUUUUGGUUUGUCUGGUAUUGUAUCAAUAUUAUUCACAGGAAUGGUGAUGAAGCAUUAUACAUAUUCGAACUUAUCGCAGUCUUCACAACAAUUUGUUGCGGAAUUUUUCCACUUAAUAUCAUCUCUGGCAGAGACAUUUAUAUUUAUAUAUAUGGG